ACUGCAAACAGAGCCUUUGUCAAUGGAAACCACCCUGAUCCCACAUUACACAACUCACUCCCACAAAACUUCACCGCCAUUCCCAAUAACAACAAUGGGAACAUCAACACAAUGUCACAAAACAUGCCCAGCAACUCCAACCCACUCCAUCAUAAUGGCCAUUUGAACACUGAUGUAUUCCAACACCGCUUCAGCACAGUCCCAGACAAUGGGCAUCAAAACAAUUCAUAUCCAAACAAUGACCCUCAGAGGUCAUUCCCACAGUCUGUCCAACACAAUCCCAAUAUUCUCAUACAAACGGGCAAUUCUCAGCCUGGUGCGCUUGCGCCUACAGUUCAUGAAAACCUCAACACCUUGCCAUGUAAUGACCAGUUUAAUAAUUCACAACCUCAAAUGGUGCAUGUCAACUUGAACACAUACCCUCCAAAAGCAAAUCAGAUGGUCCAGCAACAUGCAGAAAGUGCACUACAGAUUCAACAUAUUAACAGCAACCAUCAAAAUCAUUCUCAGAAUGGCUUGCUGAACUCUGACCCUUUGACAUUGAGUAAUCAGACACAAAAUGCUCAAUAAUGCUUCAACAAAUAUUUCUCCCCAACACAACGGCCUCAUUCAGACUGGAUACUCUCACCCUACCAAUCAAACCAAUGCAAACCGCCGAACUGCCAACUCAAGAUCAUCAGCAGAAGACCGAACUCGACAUUCAAUCCCAGUUCAGACCAACAACCAGUUCAGUGACUCCAGAAUGCACCUCCAACAGAUGCCUUGGGACUGUUUGCAGAGAACACCUGCAUAUCCCAACCCUGAAGUCUAUAGCUCAGACAGUAGUGGAUCUUCAGAUUGGCCACAAUGAGAUGCACAGAGGGAUCGUUCUGCUCCGAGAUACCGGGAAACUGAAUCUUCAGGAAGGUUGACCCAAGCUGCUCCUUCCCCCCAAAGAAGAGACCUCCAGAGACCAAUCGUACCUAACCACUCUCAAAUGCACCCAAAUGUGCAAAGACAAUCAACCCAACAGAAUUUAAGCACACAACCGCAAGUCCAAUCUCAAAUCCAGACCGCAAUACCUCAAACCAAAACCUCUCAGGUUCAGAAUCCAAUCCCCAUUGGUCUACCAAGGGGAAUGACCAUACCUCAAACACAAACUGGCACCAGACCAAAUCAGGCCAUGCCUCAGCCAUCUGUUCCUCUUACUGAAGCUGCACUACGCCAACACACCGCCCAGACCGAUAACGCUUUCACCAACCGGAUCCAGCAGACUCCAGCUGCCUUGCAGAACCCUGGACCUUCUCAACCCAUACAGCAGCUCAACAUAGCAGGCCAGAGGCCUCCUAUUCCACCUCCGGUGCUGCGGCUGGAUGAGUUCCAGAAACUUCCAUGUGAACGCAUGAAGCAGCCGCAAACCAUCCAGCCUGUGAACGUGCAACGUAGACACAGAUCUCCAAACGUGCACAGGCAGAAUCGAGUGUUGCAUACGAGCCCUCAGCGAAUGCCGGGAGUGAAUCCCAUGCAUGCAACCAUGCAUUGGACACCCAACCCAUAUGCGACAGCAGGUCCACAGAGGCAGACCCAGACAUUAAGAAAAUGCAGCGCUCGUCUGGCUCGACACCAUUCGCACUACAAAAAACGUUUGUACAAAGCACAAUGUCUCUCAGGUGGAAAGAAACAAACGCUCAGCCAUUCCUCCUGCCCUCGGCUUAUUGUGCCGUACAAAUCUUUGUGUUUUGUCGGAGAGAUGGCAUUAUUGAUAAAAAGACUGAUCUUUUUGUUUCUCCUGCACAGCUGUCACGUAG
Sinocyclocheilus grahami is the source of this 1787-nucleotide long non-coding RNA. The record is from Ensembl. Lineage: Eukaryota; Metazoa; Chordata; Actinopteri; Cypriniformes; Cyprinidae.